AUCACCUAUAACUUUUCAGCAGAGGAACCGCUGUCUUGGUCCAUAACAAACUUGCAUCCGUUCAGAAAUUACACGGUGUAUAUAGCUGCCUAUACAAUUAUGAUAGGGUCGUACUCCGAUGUAAACAUGUCCACUCUUGAAGAUAUUCCAGGUUAACCCGUAGAUUUAAAAUACACUAAACUGUAUGCUCACUUCAUUGAUCUGGAUUGGUUGCCAGCGUAUGAGCGCAAUGGAAUCGUGAGGAACUACACAGUAAAGUAUGCUUACAAAGAACGAAAGUGUCGUGACAUUGUUGACAUAAAAGAAGCUAUACCACAUACUCGCACACACGAGAGUAACAUGACGGAACAUAUAUUUCCAUUUUGGAGGUACGAUAUAUCAGUCCGAGCAACAAAUAAUAUCGGGCAGGGAAUUUUUCCGAUGUGCUGGUUGUUCAAACACACGAAUGAACUCCCAGUGGUAUAAAUACCACCAACAGCAGUUCAGUUCAUGCACGCAAUGCCACGAUACAGUGGAUGGAUCCAUGUUAUGCAAACGGAAUACUGACACGAUUUUACGUGGAACUGUUGAAUUCAUCAAGUGUGAAUUUCAUAAAUGAAACUUGGGUUUCUACAUUCGCAACGAACGCUUCCAUACACGAACAUUUUUGUAAUGAUUUGCUUCCGUUUAGAAAUAAUUCUUUACGUGUAAAGGCGGCAACACACGCUGGUAACGGAACGUAUGACAUCUCACUCAAUUUCACGUCAAAAAUCGAUGUUCCGAUUGCCCCAAGUGAGUUACGCCAAGGCAAAAUCGAAUCGUCCGCCGUAAGGAUUCAUUGGAACAGUACAAUCCAGUUUACUGGACCGACCAAAUAUAUCAUUAGUGUCACUGACGUUAGUGAUAACUCACAAUUGAAGAGUUAUGUCACAAACGAAGGAUGGUGGAUCGAUCAACUGGCUACAUACGCCGAUCUCUUUGACCUCGAUGCUUACUGGAAUUACUCCAUAGCAGUCACUGCGGAGACAUCGUAUGGACUCAGGGACCUCUACGAAGUGAAUCCUCUACAAUCAUCGUUCAGACUGCUGAAAGCGUUCCGGGAAGACUCCAGAGUCUGAUCGCCGUAUCUGAGCAAGACUUGACGAAACCGCCAAUGUUGUACGUGAAGUGGCAGGCUCCCAAAGAUAGAGAUCUUAAUGGCAUACUUGUUAGAUACAUAAUAUAUUGUUCAAAUGGAAACCAACAGAUUAACGUUAACGCUUCAACACUGAAUCAUACUAUUCCGAUAUACAUCGACAACAAAUCAAACGUGACCGUUGAGGUUCGCUCCGCAACGAGUGUUGGACAUGGAGAGUCGUUCAGCGUGACGGUCGAAGUUAAACCAGGGGCACCGGAAGAGCCUCCAGAAACCCUGUCAAAUCCUCUGACGAAAAAGGCUCAUGUUACGGUCGCUGAUGACAAACAGAUGAUUGCUGUAGAACUGUCAAAGACUUUCCUGUGUAAUAAUAAAACUGGCACACUUGUUCACUGGGGGAUAAUUAUUGCACAGGAAAGUAACGCAACAGACCUUUCUUUCGUUGGGAGUCGCGGCGAGUACGAAGCCAGAAAAAAUACCCUUUACAAGAAGUGGUCCGAAGUUAAGGACAUGGAUGACAUUCCGACAUAUUUAGCAACUGGUCCUAAUUGAAGCCCUUCAUGUC
This is a long non-coding RNA of Dreissena polymorpha, 1679 nucleotides long. RefSeq lists it as uncharacterized. The transcript is spliced from 10 exons. Lineage: Eukaryota; Metazoa; Mollusca; Bivalvia; Myida; Dreissenidae. The record is from RefSeq and is a predicted model, not a curated record.